This 233-nucleotide unclassified non-coding RNA is filed under the name Melitaea cinxia (Glanville fritillary). RNAcentral describes it as "misc RNA ENSMCXG00005013927.1". The record is from RNAcentral. Lineage: Eukaryota; Metazoa; Arthropoda; Insecta; Lepidoptera; Nymphalidae.
GCGUAAACAUCCGCUAAGAACAAAUUUUACGAAACUCGACCCCUAAGGGGAUAAAACGGGGGUUGGAAGUUUGUACGAAAGUCCUAUGUUUUUGAAGUAAGAGACUUGAAAUUUAAAGUGUAUGCUCUAUAGAUGGUGAGGAGGUGUCCAAAUAAUGUAUAUUUAGAAAUCAACUCCUUUUUGGGGUUAAAACGGGGGUUCGUAGGUUGACUCACUCAUCACGAAAUCUCCGA